UCAUACGUAAUGAGACUUGACAGGUGU
RNAcentral lists this small RNA (27 nucleotides) under Bombyx mori (domestic silkworm). Its description in RNAcentral is "ovarian small RNA-25903". The record is from RNAcentral. Lineage: Eukaryota; Metazoa; Arthropoda; Insecta; Lepidoptera; Bombycidae.